GAUGAACGCUGGCGGUGUGCCUUAUACAUGCAUGUCGAACGAGGCGUAGCAAUACGUCUAGUGGCAAAUGGGUGAGUAAUAAAUAGGUAACCAACCCUUAAGACGGGGAUACCCCAUCGAAAGAUGGAAUAAUACCCGAUAAUGUCCCUUCCGGUGCGCUGGAGGGGAAGAAAGAUGGCGCAAGCUAUCACUUUUGGACGGGCUUAUUUCCUAUCAGCUAGUUGGUGAGGUAACGGCUUACCAAGGCUACGACGGGUAGCUGGUCUGAGAGGACGGUCAGCCACAUUGGGACUGCGACACGGCCCAGACUCCUACGGGAGGCAGCAGUCGGGAAUAUUGGGCAAUGGGGGAAACCCUGACCCAGCGACGCCGCGUGGAGGAUGACGGCCUUCGGGUUGUA
Molecule: ribosomal RNA, 400 nt
Filed under: uncultured bacterium
Lineage: Bacteria
Description: bacterial SSU rRNA
Rfam family: Bacterial small subunit ribosomal RNA
Source: RNAcentral